Molecule: long non-coding RNA, 324 nt
Organism: Orcinus orca (killer whale)
Lineage: Eukaryota; Metazoa; Chordata; Mammalia; Artiodactyla; Delphinidae
Exons: 3
Source: RefSeq, a predicted model, not a curated record
CCCAGCAGGAACCACCUCACACCAAAGGGCCCACAAAAAAGAAAAGAAAAGAACAGCUCCAGCCUCGUCUUGUUUAUCUAACCCAAACUCAACUCAAGCCUUUGGUCUUGACGUGGGCACUGGUGUCCUUUCCUUGGGAGGAGAGCAAUCCAGUGUGAGAGAAUUCCCAUGGGUUCUGUCUACACCCUCGUGCGCUGCCUCACCGGCCUGCCAAAUCGCUUCUGACCCCCGUGAGGACCAGUGAGGUACCAUGAAGUACAGACUUCAUCUUGAAAUCCCAACUCUUUCCCAGGCCCCUCUUCAUCCUACACCCACCUACAUGAC